RNAcentral lists this ribosomal RNA (546 nucleotides) under Escherichia coli. RNAcentral's name for it is "bacterial LSU rRNA". It matches the Rfam family "Bacterial large subunit ribosomal RNA", at positions 2397 to 2925 of the family's 2925-position model. The record is from RNAcentral. Lineage: Bacteria; Pseudomonadati; Pseudomonadota; Gammaproteobacteria; Enterobacterales; Enterobacteriaceae.
GUGCGAAAGCAGGUCAUAGUGAUCCGGUGGUUCUGAAUGGAAGGGCCAUCGGUCAACGGAUAAAAGGUACUCCGGGGAUAACAGGCUGAUACCGCCCAAGAGUUCAUAUCGACGGCGGUGUUUGGCACCUCGAUGUCGGCUCAUCACAUCCUGGGGCUGAAGUAGGUCCAAAGGGUAUGGCUGUUCGACAUUUAAAGUGGUACGCGAGCUGGGUUUCGAAAGUCGUGAGACAGUUCGGUCCCUAUCUGCCGUGGGCGCUGGAGAACUGAGGGGGGCUGCUCCUAGUACGUGAGGACCGGAGUGGACGCAUCACUGGUGUUCGGGUUGUCAUGCCAAUGGCACUGCCCGGUAGCUAAAUGCGGAAGAGAUAAGUGCUGAAAGCAUCUAAGCACGAAACUUGCCCCGAGAUGAGUUCUCCCUGACUCCUUGAGAGUCCUGAAGGAACGUUGAAGACGACGACGUUGAUAGGCCGGGUGUGUAAGCGCAGCGAUGCGUUGAGCUAACCGGUACUAAUGAACCGUGAGGCUUAACCUUACAACGCCGAAG